Molecule: long non-coding RNA, 5320 nt
Filed under: Homo sapiens (human)
Lineage: Eukaryota; Metazoa; Chordata; Mammalia; Primates; Hominidae
Description: HSALNT0139648
Source: RNAcentral
GGUGCCAGAAGGCAGUCUUAUUCUUAAUAUGCAUUUUAUUAUAAAUAAAGUUUAUAUAUAUACAUUUAUUUUAAAUAAAGUUUCAGUGUGACAAAAGAAGUAGCACUGGAAUAUAAAAUUUUCUUUUUAAUUCUCAGCAAGGCAAGUUACUUCUAUAGAAGGGUGCACCCUUACAGAUGAAGCAAUGGUGAUUCAAAUGAGUCAGGGUGGAGCCAGUGAUUGAAUUGAGUCAUGGUGGAGCAGGUAAUCGAAAAAGGUUGCUUUAUGAGGAAGUUAAGUUUAAAAGUACAAGGCAAAGAUUUGAACAUACUGACAUAUUGAUUCUUUGAAAUGAAAUUUAGAACUCAUAUCUGACAUUACCCAAUCCACUCCCGACAUUAGAAAAAGCUCCAAAAGUUAUAUUCUGGCCCUCAAACUCCACAACAGGACUUAAUUAAACUUGCCUUCAAGGUAUACAAUAAUAGAGAAGAGGCAGUGAAGCGGCAACAUAUUUCUGAGUUGAAAUUACUUGCCUCCGCUGUGAGAGAAACCCCAGCCACAUCUCCAGCACACAAGAACUUCAGAAUGCCUAAACCGCAGCAGCCAGGUGUUCCUCCAGGGCCUCCUCCCCCAGGAUCUUGCUUCAAGUGCCAGAAAUCUGGCCACUAGGCCAAGGAAUGCCUGCAGCCCAUGAUUCUUCCUAAGUCGUGUCCCAUCUGGGCGGGACGCCACUGGAAAUUGGAUGGUCCAACUUGUCUGGCAGCCACUCCCAGAGCCCCUGGAACUCUGGCCCAAGGCUCUCUGAUUGACUCCUUCCCAGAUCUUCUUGGCUUAGCAGCUGAAGACUGAUGCAGCCCAAUUGCCUUGGAAGCACCCUGGACCACUAUAGAUGCUUCAGUGGAGGGGUACUCCUGCAGAAGAGGCUGCAUCUCUGCCCAUUGAGCACCCACCAGCAUGGGCUGCAAGUGGAAGCUUCUCCCACUUCUUCAGUGGCCGCAACCCCACCAAAGGUGAGGAUGUGCUGGAGGAGGGAGCUUUUUGCACUUCUCUGUUGCUCUGGCCCUCACUGAGGAUGAGCACUCACAGAAUAAGAGCCUACCCACUGGCUCUUACUCUUAAGCGCUAUCUACUGGACUAAUUAAUGAAUUACACCACCAAACAAAAGUGUAACACUGCAAUAAGCAACAUCUGAAAAAGCCACCAAAUGGACCUAUCUGCAACUGAGGAACCCAUACAGAGACUUCGCCCUCUGAAAACAUCCAGAAAUGAAGACAACUGAUCAUACGCAACAUAAAUCACACUCAUACUUUCAAGGAAAAGAAUAAUAAAAGAAAAGCCUCAUCCAAUGAUAUUCAAAAAAAUAAAAAAAGAAGCAGCAGAUCCUUCAGAUAAGAACCAGCACAAGAAUUCCAGCAAUACAAAAAGCCAGUGUUUCGUCACACCCAAAGGCGCCUAAGAAUCCUAACCAGAAUGAAAUGCCUGAAAUGACAGAUGUAGAAUUCAGAAUAUGGCUGACAAGAAAACUCAACAAGAUCUAACAGAAAGUUGAUAUCUAACAAAAAGAAAAUAGAAAAAAAUAAUCCAGGAUUUGAAAUAUGAUAUAGCUAUACUAAAACAAACAAACAAAACAGAAUUUCUGGAAUUGGAAAAUUUACUAUAGGAAUUUCAAAAUAAAAAUUGGAAGCCUUACCAACAGACUAGAUAAAGCAGAAGAAUUUCAAAGAUCAAAUACUGGUCCUUCAAAUCAACCCAGUGAAACAAAAAUAAAGAAAAAAAUAAUUUUAGAAAAUGAACAAAGCCUUUAGGAAGUAGAGGAUUAUGUAAAGUGACAAAAUCUACAACAUAUUGGCAUUCCUGAAGAGAAGAAGAGAAAGUAACUUGGAAAACAUGCUUGAGGAUGUAAUUCAGUAACAUUUCAUCAAGUCCUCGAAAGCAAACGCAACAAAAACAAAAGUUGACAAUUGGGAUCUAACUAAAGAACUUCUGCAGAGCAACAGAGACUAUCAACAGCAUAAACUGACAACCUACAGAAUGGGAGAAAAUACUUGCAAAUUCUGCCUCUGACAAAGGACUAAUAUCCAGAAGCUAUAGGGAACUUAAACCAAUCAACAACAAAAACCCAUUAAAAGUAGGCAAAGGACAUGAACAGACACUGCUCAAAAGAAGACAUACAAGUGGCCAAAAAGCAUGAAAAAACACUUAACGUCAUAAAUUAUCAGAGAGAGGCAAAUCAAAACCACAAUGAGAUGCUAUCUCACACCAGUGGGAAUGGCAUCACUAAAAAGUCAAAAAACAACAGACAUUAGUGAGGGUGCAAAGAAAAGGGAACAUUUAUACACUGUUGGUGGGAAUGCUAAUUAGUUUAGUCCCUGUGGAAAGUAGGAGAUUUCUCAAAGAACCAAAAAUAGAAUUACCAUUCAACCCAGAAAUCCAAUUACUGGGUACAUACCAAAAGGAAAAUAAAUAAUUCUACCAAAAAGACAAAUGCUCUCACAUGUUUAUCACAGCACUGUUUCACAAUUCCAAAGACAUGGAAUCAACCUAGGUACCCAUCACUGGUGGACUGGGUAAAGAAAAUAUGGUACAUAUACACCAUGGAAUACUACACAGCCAUGAAAAAGAAUGAAAUAAUGUCAUUUGCAGCAACAUAGAUGCAGCUGGAGGGCAUUAUCCUAAGUGAAUUAAUGCAAAACAGAAAAUCAAACACUGCAUUUUCUCCCUUGGAUGAGAUUUGCAUAUUUGGCCAUCAUUAAGCAAGCUCACUAACAACCUAGGGAAAGUCAUUGCAAGCCAGUAUUCAAUGGGAGUACCAUGGUUGACAGUGUCAUGAUUAAAAAUGUAACCAUAAUUAAAUAGUACUAGAGAAAUGUAGAUGCAAGAAAAUCUACAUUAAGUAUACCUUCCAAAGAGCAAUAGCAUUGCAAAGUAAUAACAGUGUUGUACCAUUUCCUUGUGUUGAAGCAUAUGAAAUAUCCAGGCAUGGCAUAUUUGAAAUUAAACAUAAGUGGAAUAUAUUACAAUAAAGAAAACAAAGAGGUGGCUCCUGGACCUCAACAGAAAGAGAUGCUGUUGUGAAAUUAUGCAGACACUUCAUGUGCAUAGAUUACAAAAGAAAUAGUACAUAUGCACCUUUCCUCUACUCAUUAUCUAAUUUUUCAUAGAUAAAUAAAUCACUGUAUCACCCAUAAGCCCAUGAAUGGUAUAAUACAUUUUUGUUUUAGUCAGUCAAAAUUAAUUUAGCUGUAAUUAUGUUUAUCAUAUGUAUACGUUCCAAACUUUUAUGCUCUGCUUCCUCUUAAAUGCUUUGCCACAUAGAAAUUUAUUCUGCCAGAUACCCUAAAUAAUCUCUCUCAGGUUCAAAGUAACACAGAUCUCUAGGGCAAGGGCAAAAUGCUACCAGUCUCUUUGCAUAGCAAGAGUGACCUUUACUCCAGUUUCCAAUAAGUUAUUCAUUUCCAUCUGAGACCACCUCAGCCUGGACUUCAUUGUCCAUAUCACUAUCAGCAUUUUGAUCAGAGCUAUUCAACAAGUCUCUAGGAAGUUCCAAACAUUCCCACAUCUUCUUGUCUUCUGAGCCCUCCAAGUCUCUAGGAAGGUCCAAGCUUUCCCACAUUUUCCUGUCUUCUUCUGAAAGACAGAAGCCCUCCAAAUUGUUCCAACCUUUGUCUGUUAUCCAGUUCCAAAGUCGCUUCCACAUUUUGUGUAUCCUUACAGCAACACCCACUGUCUCCUAGUACCUGUUUACUGUAUUAGUCCAUUCUCAUGCUUCUAUAAAGAACUGCCUGAGACUGGGUAAUUUACAAAGGAAAGAGGUUUAAUUGACUAACAGCUCCACAGGGGUGGGGAGGCCUCAGUAAACUUACAAUCAUGGAGGAAAGGGAAGCAAACACAUCCUUCUUCAAAUAGCAGCAGGAAGGAGAAGUACCAAGCAAAGGGGAAAAAGCUCCAUAUAAAACCGUCAGAUUUCAUGAGAACUCACUCACUAUCAUGAGAACAGCAUGGGGGUCACUGCCCCCAUGAUUCAGUUACCUCCCACUGGGUCACUCCCAUGACAUGUUGGGAUUAUGGGAACUAAAAUUCAAGAUGAGAUUUGGGUGGGGACACCGCCAAAUCAUAUCAAUGUGCGAAUGGUGGAAAAGUAGAGGAACAAUUCAUGAAAAAGUCCAAGUUAUAUUCUGAAGAGGGAGUACUGUGUAUGCUUACAUUAGAAUAAGUAGUACAAACUCUAACUGAAUUUAAAUAUCUUGAUGUGGUCUGGAGCAGUUAGUGAAAGUCUCAGGAGACAGUAGAAGUCUCAAGAAAGGGUAUUAUAUAACAUUUAAAAAAUUAUGUUUCUGAAUAUCUACAAAGAUUAUUUUAUUAAUGGAAUUUGGCCUUCUGGGUAUCUUUGUUAUUCCUUAUGCUUCAUAAAUUCUCUAUCAUAUUUGAUAGUUUUGUUCAAUCCCACCACUAAAAGUUUAUCUCCUAGCUUUAGUAACGGUGUAUUAUUUUGUACUUCUCCUUCUUUGGCAUCUAUCAUCCUAGUUUUCAGAUCUAACCUGUAAGAGUUCUGUUUCUAUUUUGGUUUUCUUCUUUAUUCAUUUCUCGCUUCAGUAAUCUCAUCCUUUCUUUCUUUCUGAUGAUCAUCACUUCCAGGCAGAUGACUACUGUGUGUAUAUUUAUUUACUUAUUGUUUUGUUUGUGAUAUAAUUUGGAUCUGUGUCCCCACCCACAUCUCAUGUUUGAUUGUAAUUCUCAAUGUUGUAGGUGGGGGCUGGUAGGAGGUGAUUGGAUCAUGGGGGCAAACUUCUCAUGAUCAGUUUAGUACCAUACCUCUUGGUACUGUCCUCAUGAUAGUGAGUGAGUUCUCAUGAGAUCUGGUCAUUUAAAAAGUAUGUAGCUCCUCCUCCUCACUCUCUUGCUCCUGCUUUCACCAUGUGGUAUGCUUGCUCUUGCUUCGCCUUCCACCAUGAGUAAAAACUCCCUGAGGUUUCCCCAAGAAGAUGCUGGUGCCAUGAUUCCUGUACAGCCUCCACAGCUAAAAGCCAAUUAAACCUAUUUUCUUUAUAAAUUACCCAGUCAGAUUUUUUUAUAACUCUGAGAGAAUGGACUAACACAGUUUGUUGGGUAAUUUUUGUUGUUGUUUUUAAUUUUUUUCUUAAAAUUUUAUUUUUUUUAAAGUUCAAUAGUUUUAGGGACAAGAGUGGUUUUUGGUUACAUAGAUGAAUUGUAUAAGUGAGAGCAUGAGGUAUCUGGUUUUUGAUUCCUGAGUUACUUCACCUAAAAUAAUGACCUCCAGUUCCAUUCAAGUUGCUGCAGAUGACAUUAUUUCAUUCUUUUUUAUGGCUGAGUAGUAUCCCAU